UCCUACGGGAGGCAGCAGUGAGGAAUAUUGGACAAUGGGUGAGAGCCUGAUCCAGCCAUCCCGCGUGAAGGAUGACGGUCCUACGGAUUGUAAACUUCUUUUGUAUAGGGAUAAACCUCUCUACGUGUAGAGAGCUGAAGGUACUAUACGAAUAAGCACCGGCUAACCCCGUGCCAGCAGCCGCGGUAAU
Molecule: ribosomal RNA, 190 nt
Filed under: uncultured bacterium
Lineage: Bacteria
Description: partial 16S ribosomal RNA
Rfam family: Bacterial small subunit ribosomal RNA
Source: RNAcentral